UACGUAGGGGGCAAGCGUUAUCCGGAUUUACUGGGUGUAAAGGGAGCGUAGACGGUGAUGCAAGCCAGAUGUGAAAGCCCGGGGCUCAACCCCGGGACUGCACUUGGAACUGUGCUGCUAGAGUGUCGGAGAGGCAGGCGGAAUUCCUAGUGUAGCGGUGAAAUGCGUAGAGAUUAGGAAGAACACCAGUGGCGAAGGCGACUUACUGGACUGUAACUGACGCUGAGGCAUGAGAGCAUGGGGAGCAAACAGG
RNAcentral lists this ribosomal RNA (253 nucleotides) under uncultured Blautia sp. RNAcentral's name for it is "partial 16S ribosomal RNA". It matches the Rfam family "Bacterial small subunit ribosomal RNA", at positions 524 to 776 of the family's 1533-position model. The record is from RNAcentral. Lineage: Bacteria; Bacillati; Bacillota; Clostridia; Lachnospirales; Lachnospiraceae.